CUCUCUUUUCAUUUUUUCUGUUUUCGAUGGCAAGAGUUGCAAAUGCAUAAGAUACUUAAAAUGGUAAUGUAUAUCUUCGUUUUCACUCUCUUCCCAUCUGAGCCCAUGCAUGUAGAGCCACCUGCCAAGGUGUAAUAUACAAACAAGAAAUGCAUCUAGGUCUUUGGGUUCUUUUAAAAGCUUUGAAAAAAUGGGUUGGGAUAUUUACCUUCUUUUACAGUGUAUGGAGAUUUGCCUUCUCAAAGUCAGUUUGCAGACUGGGAGUUUGCAGUUUCUCAACAUUCUGCUGUUCCUCAUGGCAUUUUGGGUAUUAUUCAGGCGAUGCCCCAUGAUGCAUACCCAAUGGGUGUGCUUGUCAGUGCGAUGAGUCCUCUUUCUGCGUUCCAUCCAGAUGCCAAUCCUGCCCUAAGGAGGAAAGGUGCAGAAUCCAGAGUUGGAUGUUUUCAACUAAACCUUUUUUUUCUUUUUCUGGGUAUGCGUGUUGACAUGUAUUCUGCAUUUUGUAGAUUGUUAUAUAUUAUUUUGUGCCUCUAGCACCUUAUAAAU
This is a long non-coding RNA of Magnolia sinica, 546 nucleotides long. RefSeq lists it as uncharacterized. The transcript has 3 exons. Lineage: Eukaryota; Viridiplantae; Streptophyta; Magnoliopsida; Magnoliales; Magnoliaceae. The record is from RefSeq and is a predicted model, not a curated record.